RNAcentral lists this ribosomal RNA (397 nucleotides) under uncultured bacterium. Its description in RNAcentral is "bacterial SSU rRNA". It matches the Rfam family "Bacterial small subunit ribosomal RNA", at positions 358 to 772 of the family's 1533-position model. The record is from RNAcentral.
GGAAUCUUGGACAAUGGGCGCAAGCCUGAUCCAGCCAUGCCGCGUGCGUGAUGACGGCCCUAGGGUUGUACAACUCUUUCGCCGAGGACGAUAAUGACGGUACUCGGAUAAGAAGCUCCGGCUAACUUCGUGCCAGCAGCCGAGGUAAUACGAAGGGGGCUAGCGUUGUUCGGAUUUACUGGGCGUAAAGCGCGUGUAGGCGGGUCGUUAAGUUGGGGGUGAAAUCCCGAGGCUCAACCUCGGAACUGCCUUCAAAACUGGCGACCUGGACUCAAGCAGAGGCAAGUGGAAUUGCGAGUGUAGAGGUGAAAUUCGUAGAUAUUCGCAGGAACACCAGUGGCGAAGGCGACUUGCUGGGCUUGUAGUGACGCUGAGACGCGAAAGCGUGGGGAGCAAA